Molecule: ribosomal RNA, 301 nt
Filed under: uncultured bacterium
Lineage: Bacteria
Description: partial 16S ribosomal RNA
Rfam family: Bacterial small subunit ribosomal RNA
Source: RNAcentral
CAGUCGCCGCGGGAAAACCGAGGGUGCAAGCGUUAAUCGGAAUUACUGGGCGUAAAGCGCGCGUAGGUGGUUUGUUAAGUUGGAUGUGAAAUCCCCGGGCUCAACCUGGGAACUGCAUUCAAAACUGACUGACUAGAGUAUGGUAGAGGGUGGUGGAAUUUCCUGUGUAGCGGUGAAAUGCGUAGAUAUAGGAAGGAACACCAGUGGCGAAGGCGACCACCUGGACUAAUACUGACACUGAGGUGCGAAAGCGUGGGGAGCAAACAGGAUUAGAUACCCCCGUAGUCCCUGUCUCUUAUAC